CGAAAUUCACUGCUGCAUGAAGAGCAGAUGCCACCCAUACGAUGAUUGUGCACGAGUCUAUCAGUUCUUUCCUUGUCUGCAUCUUUGGCCACCAUGGUUCGUCUUUCUUGUCUCCAUGUCCCUUUUCUCGUACUUCUUUCCACCAUGACUGAAGCUCAAUGUCUUUCUGUACCAUGUCAUCUGUCUUGUAGUAAAUGCUGCAGUAGUCCUCAACCCAUGUUUUGAUCGCUGUCCAGAUCUCGAGUCCAUCAACAGCAAAGGGGUAGUCCUCAAUUAGUAGGCGAACUCCGUGUGGGGAGCUCGAGUCUUCAAUUGCUACCCCUCUAAAACAAGGUAGAAGUUGUCAUUUUCAGUCAGUAAGAUCUGAUGUCCAUUACUUCUGAGAAAGCUAUUUAAAUUGAACUCGUAUCUCGUGUUUAUUUUUUAUUUUUAACCAAUUUUUCAGAAACAAAAUCGAGGAGUAAAGUGGUAGAUCUAUGUACCUCUUAACGAGAUCUGCAGGGAGUCCCUGAUCUGGGAAAGCCCAGUUUUUGUAAAUG
Molecule: long non-coding RNA, 539 nt
Filed under: Erythranthe guttata (spotted monkey flower)
Lineage: Eukaryota; Viridiplantae; Streptophyta; Magnoliopsida; Lamiales; Phrymaceae
Description: long non-coding RNA (EGUT_LNC000466)
Source: RNAcentral